CAGUUCGGAUUGUAGGCUGCAACUCGCCUACAUGAAGUUGGAAUCGCUAGUAAUCGCGAAUCAGAAUGUCGCGGUGAAUACGUUCCCGGGGUCUUGUACACACCGCCCGUCACACCACGAGGGUUUACAACACCCGAAGUCAGUGGCCUAACCGCAAGGAGGGAGCUGCCUAAGGGUGGGGGUAGAUGAUUGGGGGUGAAGUCGUAACAAGGUAGC
This 216-nucleotide ribosomal RNA is filed under the name uncultured bacterium. RNAcentral's name for it is "partial 16S ribosomal RNA". It matches the Rfam family "Bacterial small subunit ribosomal RNA", at positions 1289 to 1500 of the family's 1533-position model. The record is from RNAcentral.